Pan troglodytes (chimpanzee) is the source of this 1165-nucleotide long non-coding RNA. RefSeq lists it as uncharacterized. The transcript has 3 exons. The record is from RefSeq and is a predicted model, not a curated record. NCBI's taxonomy places the organism in Eukaryota, Metazoa, Chordata, Mammalia, Primates, Hominidae.
CUGGCCUCUCUUGUCUGUGUCUCUUCCAAAGACACUUGUCGCGUUGGAGUUAAGGCCCACCCAGAUAAUCUGGGAUGAUCUCAUUUCGAGAACCGUAACUUAAUUACAUCUGCAAAGACCAUUUUCCCAAAUAAGUUCUUAUUCACAGAUUCUGAGGAAGGAUGGGUGUACAUGGAUAUAUUUGUGGGGGUGCAUUUAUCCCGCUACAAAAUGACACUGGGUCCUUCUACUUGUGGAUGGUGGGUGGGGAGAGGGUUGAACAUUCCUGUAAUUCUUUCUUUUUUUUUUUUUUUCCUUUACUCCUUGUCAUGCUGAAUAUAUCGAGUCAGCAGCCAGCAUCAGGUACCUGGGAAUGAGGAAGGAAAGACAGGCAGAUGGCAAAGGGGCCUGUCAACUUCUCCUUUUCACUGACACUCACGCCACUCUUUCAUUUACAACCACAGAAUACCUAACUGCAAGAACUGCCGCAUCCCUGGUGGUCUGACCGUGUCUCUGAGCUAAGCAGCAGAUUUCAGCCACAGGGUCUGACUCUCAGGCAGACACAUCCUGUCCAAGGACUGGAGACAGAGCAUCCGUUCUCCCACCCAGAGCGGUCAGCUGCAUGUGGCUGGUUGGGGGCGGUUCAGACAGAAACGGCCCAAGAGAAAUGGAAAUAUGAUGGCUGGUUGAUUGUUUCGCAGUCUGCAUGACAGACCACCCUCCUAACAAGACUCUAGGUCAAGUGCUCUUCUCUGCCCUGUGGAUCUACUGGGGAGAAAUUAGCUCUCGGUGGUAUUUCCAAUUAUGGAGAAAAGCGAUUCCUCCCUGGUCUGGCUAUCAUGUGUUUUGCAGUGGACCAAGAGACAUGAAGCCCAUUUUCCACCCUCGCCUCUUUCUCGAUCUAGCUGCAUGACCUUGGGAGGUGGCGUGACCUCUCGGCUUCUUUGCUGCCUCAUCUGUCAUGAUCCACCUUCACUACUUCAUAGCCAUGUUCUAGGAUAAAUGAGAGAAGCCUCUACAUCUUUUAGUCUCCCAGAAAGACUGGAACCAGGUGCAGUGGCUUAUGCCUGUUAUCCCAGAACUUUGGGAGGCUGAGUCAGGAGGAUCACUUGAGGCCAGUUCAAGACCAGCCUGGGAAACAUAGCAAGAGCCUGUCUCUAUUGGGAGAAAAAAAAAAAAAAGGUAA